Molecule: ribosomal RNA, 447 nt
Filed under: uncultured bacterium
Lineage: Bacteria
Description: bacterial SSU rRNA
Rfam family: Bacterial small subunit ribosomal RNA
Source: RNAcentral
CACCAGACUCCUACGGGAGGCAGCAGUGGGGAAUAUUGCACAAUGGGGGAAACCCUGAUGCAGCGACGCCGCGUGAGUGAAGAAGUAUUUCGGUAUGUAAAGCUCUAUCAGCAGGGAAGAUAAUGACGGUACCUGAGUAAGAAGCCCCGGCUAACUACGUGCCAGCAGCCGCGGUAAUACGUAGGGGGCAAGCGUUAUCCGGAUUUACUGGGUGUAAAGGGAGCGUAGACGGCAUGGCAAGUCUGAAGUGAAAGCCCGGGGCUCAACCGCGGGACUGCUUUGGAAACUGUUAAGCUGGAGUGCAGGAGAGGUAAGUGGAAUUCCUAGUGUAGCGGUGAAAUGCGUAGAUAUUAGGAGGAACACCAGUGGCGAAGGCGGCUUACUGGGCUGUAACUGACACUGAGGCACGAAAGCGUGGGGAGCAAACAGGAUUAGAUACCCCGGUAC